GCUUCUUUGAUGACGAGUGGCGGACGGGUGAGUAAUGCUUGGAAAUCGACCUUAUGGAGGGGGAUAACUACGGGAAACUGUGCCUAAACCCGCGAAUAAUCCAGAGAUGAAAGUGUGGGACCUUCGGGCCACAUGCCAUAAGAUGAGCCCAAGUGGGAUUACGUAGUUGGUGAGGUAAAGGCUCACCAAGCCGACCAUCUCUAGCUGGUCUGAGAGGAUGACCAAACACACUGGAACUGAUACACGGCCCACACUCCUACGGCAGGCAGCAGUGGGGAAUAUUGCGCGAUGGGGGCAACCCUGACCCGGCCAUGCCGCGUGAAUGAAGAAGGCCUUCGCGGUUGUAAAGUUCUUUCUGUAGCGAGGAAAGCAUUUAGUUUAAUAGACUAAGUGAUUGACUGUAACUACAGAAGAAGCACCGGUUAACUCCGUGCCACCACCCUGGGAAAUACUGAGGGUGCGAGCGUUAAUCGGAAUAAUUGGACGUAAAGGGCACGCAGGCGGUGACUUAAGUGAGGUGUGAAAGCCCCGGGCUUAACCUGGGAAUUGUAUUUCAU
RNAcentral lists this ribosomal RNA (557 nucleotides) under uncultured organism. RNAcentral describes it as "SSU rRNA". It matches the Rfam family "Bacterial small subunit ribosomal RNA", at positions 79 to 631 of the family's 1533-position model. The record is from RNAcentral.